RNAcentral lists this ribosomal RNA (309 nucleotides) under Triticum aestivum (bread wheat). RNAcentral describes it as "partial small subunit ribosomal RNA". The record is from RNAcentral. Lineage: Eukaryota; Viridiplantae; Streptophyta; Magnoliopsida; Poales; Poaceae.
AUGCUUGUAGAUCAUGAAAAGAAUGCUUUAGGUGCUAGUUAUAUUGUUGAAUUCAUUCAUGAUGCUACUGAAAAUUAUUAUGAGGGAGGAAUAUAUGCUUGUAGGAAUUGCAAUAAUAUCAAGUUUCCUCUCUAUGUGCUUAAAGUUUUGAAGUUAUGCUUGUUUUGCCUUCCUAUGCUAGUUGAUUGUUGUUCCCACAAGUUGUUUGCUCACAAAAUCCCUAUGCACAGGAAGUGGGUUAGACUUAAAUGUGCUAGUCAUAUUCUUCAUGAUGCUCUCUUUAUGUUUCAAUUCUUAUCUUUUAUGUGA